Phascolarctos cinereus (koala) is the source of this 1150-nucleotide non-coding RNA. The record is from RefSeq and is a predicted model, not a curated record. Lineage: Eukaryota; Metazoa; Chordata; Mammalia; Diprotodontia; Phascolarctidae.
AAAGAAAACCCUAAAUGGGGUUGGGCACAAUGGAAACAACUGAACAACAAUGUCACAAAUCUCCCUCGGAGAGAUCUCAGUAGAGAUUAUUUUGAAACGUCAAUCAGCCAGCUUGGUUAAAUAUGUUAGUUAUAUAUGUGUGUGUGACAUAUAUGUUACACACAGUGUAUGUAUAUAUGUGUGUGCAUAUGUGUAUGCAUAUUUAUCCAGAAUAGGACACCCUGCAAACAACAUUUCCUUCCCCUUCUCCAAAGAACAUGGAAAGGAAGGGGCAAAGAAGCACUUUGGGAAAAUGAGUUUGGAAACCAGGCAUGCAGAAGGAAGCUUUGGAUUCCUGAUUGGGAAGGUCCUUUUGAAUGCCAACUUGGUUAAAUAUGUUAGUUAUAUAUGUGUGUGUGACAUAUAUGUUACACACAGUGUAUGUAUAUAUGUGUGUGCAUGUGUGUAUGCAUAUUUAUCCAGAAUAGGACACCCUGCAAACAACAUUUCCUUCCCCUUCUCCAAAGAACAUGGAAAGGAAGGGGCAAAGAAGCACUUUGGGAAAAUGAGUUUGGAAACCAGGCAUGCAGAAGGAAGCUUUGGAUUCCUGAUUGGGAAGGUCCUUUUGAAUGCCAACUCUGGCCCUAUGGAAACACCCCCUUUUGGGAAAACUGGAAGCUGAGAACUCAAAAAGAUAAAUUGGUUAAGAAUUUGUUGCUGUUGCUGUUAAAUGACAGAAUGUUGGAUCACCUCAAAUCUAAGCCACAUCAAAUGCUGCUAGAAGAAGAAGAACCUGUUUUCAAUUAAACAUUAAAGCACAAAGCAGCAUUUUAGCCUGGUGCCUGGCAUGUGGUAUUGUAGAUGACUGCAAAGAUUUUUACAACAAACUGUUUUCACCAUCAAGGACUGUGAAGCCAUGGAACCUGGGCUCCUAACUUUGAACUUUUGGAUAUUCUUAUAAAGGAGGCAGAAAAAGGCACUAAGAACAAAAAGAGGAGAAAAGCAGCAAGAUUGGCUCAAGUGUGCAUAAAAUAGGUCUGUGCUGGGGAAUGACCCAAUUGUGUGGGUGUUAAGGGAACAAUUCGCAAGGAAACUAAAGAGGCUGAAGAUACCAAUGGUGUGACUCAAUUGGGUAUGGAAAGCUAUCUUACCCUACAGGAAAAUAGGGGGA